AUUGAACGCUGGCGGCAGGCCUAACACAUGCAAGUCGAGCGCGAAAGUCUUCGGAUGAGUAAAGCGGCGAACGGGUGAGUAAUGCAUGGGAAUCUGCCUGGUAGUGGGGGACAACGUCUCGAACGGGACGCAAAUACCCCAUACGCCCAACGGGGGAAGGGGGGGACUCUCCGGACCUCUCGCUACAAGAUGCGCCCAUGCCGGAUUAGCUAGUUGGGGGGGUAAAGGCCCACCAAGGCGACGAUCCGUAGCUGGUCUGAGAGGAUGAUCAGCCACACUGGAACUGAGACACGGUCCAGACUCCUACGGGAGGCAGCAGUGGGGAAUAUUGGACAAUGGGGGCAACCCUGAUCCAGCCAUGCCGCGUGUGUGAAGAAGGUCUUAGGGUUGUAAAGCACUUUCAGUGGGGAGAAAGGUGAUUCACCUAAUACGUGAGUCAAUUGAUGCUACCCACAGAAGAAGCACCGGCUAACUCCGUGCCAGCCGCCGCCGUAA
RNAcentral lists this ribosomal RNA (495 nucleotides) under uncultured bacterium. RNAcentral describes it as "partial 16S ribosomal RNA". It matches the Rfam family "Bacterial small subunit ribosomal RNA", at positions 29 to 523 of the family's 1533-position model. The record is from RNAcentral.